GUGCCAGCAGCCGCGGUAAUACGGAGGAUGCAAGCGUUAUCCGGAAUGAUUGGGCGUAAAGCGUCCGCAGGUGGCUGUGUAAGUCUGCUGUUAAAGCGUCUGGCUUAACCAGAUACAAGCAGUGGAAACUACACAGCUAGAGUGCGUUCGGGGCAGAGGGAAUUCCCAGUGUAGCGGUGAAAUGCGUAGAGAUUGGGAAGAACACCGGUGGAGAAAGCGCUCUGCUAGGCCGAAACUGACACUGAGGGACGAAAGCUAGGGGAGCGAAAGGGAUUAGAUACCCCUGUAGUCCUAGCUGUAAACGAUGGAGACUAGGUGUGGCCUGUAUCGACCCGGGCCGUGCCGGAGCUAACGCGUUAAGUCUCCCGCCUGGUGAGUACGCACGCAAGUGUGAAACUCAAAGGAAUUGACGGGG
RNAcentral lists this ribosomal RNA (415 nucleotides) under uncultured prokaryote. RNAcentral describes it as "bacterial SSU rRNA". It matches the Rfam family "Bacterial small subunit ribosomal RNA", at positions 505 to 918 of the family's 1533-position model. The record is from RNAcentral.